This 515-nucleotide ribosomal RNA is filed under the name uncultured bacterium. Its description in RNAcentral is "partial 16S ribosomal RNA". It matches the Rfam family "Bacterial small subunit ribosomal RNA", at positions 28 to 523 of the family's 1533-position model. The record is from RNAcentral.
GAUGAACGCUGGCGGCGUGCCUAAUACAUGCAAGUCGAGCGAAUGGAUUAAGAGCUUGCUCUUAUGAAGUUAGCGGCGGACGGGUGAGUAACACGUGGGGAACCUGCCCAUAAGACUGGGAUAACUCCGGGAAACCGGGGCUAAUACCGGAUAACAUUUUGAACCGCAUGGUUCGAAAUUGAAAGGCGGCUUCGGCUGUCCCUCAUGGAUGGACCCGCGUCGCAUUAGCUAGCUGGUGAGGUAACGGCUCACCCAGGCAACGAUGCGUAGCCGACCUGAGAGGGUGAUCGGCCACACUGGGACUGAGACACGGCCCAGACUCCUACGGGAGGCAGCAGUAGGGAAUCUUCCGCAAUGGACGAAAGUCUGACGGAGCAACGCCGCGUGAGUGAUGAAGGCUUUCGGGUCGUAAAACUCUGUUGUUAGGGAAGAACAAGUGCUAGUUGAAUAAGCUGGCACCUUGACGGUACCUAACCAGAAAGCCACGGCUAACUACGUGCCAGCCGCCGCCGUAA